GUCUGAAGCCAUACCACCUUGAACACGCCUGAUCUCAUCUGAUCUCGGAUGUUAAGCAGGGUCAGGCCUGGUUAGUACUUGUAUGGGAGACAGAUCUUCAGAAGAGACUGCUCAGAGA
This 118-nucleotide ribosomal RNA is filed under the name Castor canadensis (American beaver). Lineage: Eukaryota; Metazoa; Chordata; Mammalia; Rodentia; Castoridae. The record is from RNAcentral.